RNAcentral lists this transfer RNA (63 nucleotides) under Euparatettix variabilis. RNAcentral's name for it is "tRNA-Gly". Lineage: Eukaryota; Metazoa; Arthropoda; Insecta; Orthoptera; Tetrigidae. The record is from RNAcentral.
AUUUUUCUAGUAUAUAAGUACAUUUGACUUCCAAUCAAAAAGUUUGAACUCUCAAGAAAAAUA